Molecule: non-coding RNA, 348 nt
Organism: Paraliobacillus sp. PM-2
Lineage: Bacteria; Bacillati; Bacillota; Bacilli; Caryophanales; Bacillaceae
Source: Rfam
CAAGGCGUAUUACAACUCUUGAGAUAGUUUGGUAGAGGGCGUCUAGCUAGGUAACGAGCUAGAGGAUAACUGGGUGAAUUGCUGGAACUUCCUAAAGCUUGAUCAACCACAACGUAACUGCAAACGGUAGGCGUGAUGGUUUGAAAAUGAUGAAGAUGAAACAAUGGAUAAUCAGCAGCCAAGCUCCUGUGAGGAAACUCUGGAGAAGGUUCAACGACUAGAGAAUACGGUCUAAGGUGAAAGCUAUGACUAUGAAUCUCGUAGGGCAGCAGAAAGCUGUUCGAAGUGCCCAGCUCCAUGAUAAAUCAUGGAUGAAGAUAUAGUCUAUUCUAUGUUCGAAAGGCAUAG